Molecule: ribosomal RNA, 664 nt
Filed under: actinobacterium 00YJ1
Lineage: Bacteria; Bacillati; Actinomycetota; Actinomycetes
Description: bacterial SSU rRNA
Rfam family: Bacterial small subunit ribosomal RNA
Source: RNAcentral
GAAGGUUGAGCCCGCGGGGGAUCGGCUUGUUGGUGGGGUAAUGGCCCACCAAGGCGACGACGGGUAGCCGGCCUGAGAGGGCGACCGGCCACACUGGGACUGAGACACGGCCCAGACUCCUACGGGAGGCAGCAGUGGGGAAUAUUGCACAAUGGGCGAAAGCCUGAUGCAGCGACGCCGCGGGAGGGAUGACGGCCUUCGGGUUGUAAACCUCUUUCAGCAGGGAAGAAGCGAAAGUGACCGUACCUGCAGAAGAAGCGCCGGCUAACUACGUGCCAGCAGCCGCGGUAAUACGUAGGGCGCAAGCGUUGUCCGGAAUUAUUGGGCGUAAAGAGCUCGUAGGCGGCUUGUCACGUCGGGUGUGAAAGCCCGGGGCUUAACCCCGGGUCUGCAUCCGAUACGGGGCAGGCUAGGAGUGUGGUAGGGGAGAUCGGAAUUCCUGGUGUAGCGGGUGAAAUGCGCAGAUAUCAGGAGGAACACCGGUGGCGAGAGGCGGAUCUCUGGGGCCAUUACUGACGCUGAGGAGCGAAAGCGGUGGGGGAGCGAACAGGAUUAGAUACCCUGGUAGUCCACGCCCGUAAACGUUGGGGAACUAGGUGUUGGGCGACUUUCCACGGUCGUCGGUGCCGCAGCUAAACGCUAUUUAGGUUUCCCCGUCCUGGGG